RNAcentral lists this ribosomal RNA (433 nucleotides) under uncultured bacterium. RNAcentral's name for it is "partial 16S ribosomal RNA". It matches the Rfam family "Bacterial small subunit ribosomal RNA", at positions 29 to 507 of the family's 1533-position model. The record is from RNAcentral.
AACGAACGCUGGCGGCAUGCCUAACACAUGCAAGUCGAACGAGACCUUCGGGUCUAGUGGCGCACGGGUGCGUAACGCGUGGGAACCUGCCCUUAGGUUCGGAAUAACUCCCCGAAAGGGGUGCUAAUACCGGAUAAUGUCUUCGGACCAAAGAUUUAUCGCCUUUGGAUGGGCCCGCGUUGGAUUAGCUAGUUGGUAGGGUAAAAGCCUACCAAGGCGACGAUCCAUAGCUGGUCUGAGAGGACGAUCAGCCACACUAAGACUGAGACACGGCCCAGACUCCUACGGGAGGCAGCAGUGGGGAAUAUUGGACAAUGGGCGAAAGCCUGAUCCAGCAAUGCCGCGUGAGUGAUGAAGGCCUUAGGGUUGUAAAGCUCUUUUACCCGGGAUGAUAAUGACAGUACCGGGAGAAUAAGCUCCGGCUAACUCCGUG